GACGAACGCUGGCGGCGUGCCUAAUACAUGCAAGUAGAACGCACAGUUUAUACCGUAGCUUGCUACACCAUAGACUGUGAGUUGCGAACGGGUGAGUAACGCGUAGGUAACCUGCCUGGUAGCGGGGGAUAACUAUUGGAAACGAUAGCUAAUACCGCAUAAUAUUGAUUAUUGCAUGAUAAUUAAUUGAAAGGUGCAAUUGCACCACUACCAGAUGGACCUGCGUUGUAUUAGCUAGUAGGUGAGGUAACGGCUCACCUAGGCGACGAUACAUAGCCGACCUGAGAGGGUGAUCGGCCACACUGGGACUGAGACACGGCCCAGACUCCUACGGGAGGCAGCAGUAGGGAAUCUUCGGCAAUGGACGAAAGUCUGACCGGGCAACGCCGCGUGAGUGAAGAAGGUUUUCGGAUCGUAAAGCUCUGUUGUAAGAGAAGAACGGGUGUGAGAGUGGAAAGUUCACACUGUGACGGUAUCUUACCAGAAAGGGACGGCUAACUACGUG
RNAcentral lists this ribosomal RNA (505 nucleotides) under uncultured bacterium. RNAcentral describes it as "partial 16S ribosomal RNA". It matches the Rfam family "Bacterial small subunit ribosomal RNA", at positions 28 to 507 of the family's 1533-position model. The record is from RNAcentral.